Molecule: ribosomal RNA, 113 nt
Filed under: uncultured bacterium
Lineage: Bacteria
Description: partial 16S ribosomal RNA
Source: RNAcentral
ACCGUCGCGGGUUGGUUAAAGACACUUUUAGUUUGGGGACGAAAAAGAACUACGGACGUAAUAUUCUGUGGUCUUGAUUUAACCCAAAGAAAAAGCACCGGCUAACUCUGUGC